CAGAUGGGUUCAAGGAUGGUGGCGCGGUGGCUUGUGCCCACUGUCAUUGAUCCAGAACAAUCUCUUUCUCGACUACCAGAUAACAGCCUCUAUUUUCACACAGCAGAAGCCAAUGCCAUAUCAACAGCUCUUAAAUAUAUUAAUAAACACCCUAAAUAUAAACAAUAUACAUGUAUAAUAUU
Long non-coding RNA from Haliotis rubra (blacklip abalone), 182 nucleotides. RefSeq lists it as uncharacterized. The transcript is spliced from 3 exons. The record is from RefSeq and is a predicted model, not a curated record. NCBI's taxonomy places the organism in Eukaryota, Metazoa, Mollusca, Gastropoda, Lepetellida, Haliotidae.